AUGGAGAGCAGAAAUGAUGUCAAAUCAGAUGAGAUCCUCAUGCCUGGGUUCCGGUUCCAUCCUACCGAUGAAGAGCUGGUUAGUUUCUACCUCAAGAAGAAGAUCCAGCAGAAGCCCAUCUCUAUUGAGCUCAUCAGGCAGCUGGACAUCUACAAGUUUGAUCCAUGGGACCUCCCAAAGCUUGCGAGCACUGGCGGUGAGACGGAGUCGUACUUCUACUGCCCAAGGGACCGCAAAUAUCGCAACAGUGCGAGGCCAAACCGGGUCACAGCUGCUGGGUUCUGGAAAGCCACGGGAACAGAUAGGCCGAUUUACUCCUCCGAGGGCACCAGGUGCGUAGGCCUGAAGAAGUCCCUUGUCUUCUACAAAGGCAGAGCAGCAAGAGGGAUCAAAACCGAUUGGAUGAUGCACGAGUUCAGGCUCCCUUCGCUCGCCGAUACGUCACUUCCCAAGAGUAGGCCGAUCGACAAGAACAUCCCGCUCAACGACUCUUGGACCAUAUGUAGGAUCUUCAAGAAGACAAGUUCGAUGGCGGCACAACGGGCGCUAUCUCACACUUGGGGGGCUCCAUUGCCUGGGGAAACUGAGCAAGAUCUCUUCUCCGCCCUGCAACCGGUGCAAGCUUUACAUUUUGCUUCAGAGAGCUCCUCCAGCUCAUUGCAAGUUGCUGCUGCGCUACCAUCAUAUCAGUUCAACGGCAAAUAUGGCUUUCAGGGACAGCACCAGCAGUUUCAGAAACCCAGCAACACACAGGAGAAUGGCUCUUCAUGCAAGGUCAUAAGCUUCAACUGUGGUCCAUCCCUACAAGUCCUGAAAGGCCCCAUCAUCUUGCCAUUCCAAACACAGCCGCCAUCACAGAGGCCCAUGUUGCACACUUCGCCACCGAUCUUCUUUGACGCGCAGUUUGGGCAGCCUGAACAGAUCACCGGAGUUGUUGUGACUGGCUCUUCUGAAGAUGUGAAUGCCGACAUGAGCUGCAGGGAACAAGAGUCAUCCACAACAAAGCAUGAUGAUACUUUCAGCAUGAAGAAUGAGUUGGAGGCUCCAGGGAGACUCAACUUCCCAUUCGAUUUAGGAGCAGACUCUUCAGAUGACUGGGAGUGCAACAUACCUUGGGAGUCCUUUCUUAGCCCAACAGCCCCUGAUGAGAUCAUACAGUACUAG
This 1164-nucleotide ribosomal RNA is filed under the name Triticum aestivum (bread wheat). RNAcentral describes it as "partial small subunit ribosomal RNA". The record is from RNAcentral. Lineage: Eukaryota; Viridiplantae; Streptophyta; Magnoliopsida; Poales; Poaceae.